AUGUAAUUAAAAAAAAUUUUUUUUAAAAAUGGGGCGUGGCCUAACUCUUGGCGUGGACAGACGCAUGUGAGCGAAGCUCCGUUCUACACCGGCCUAAAAAACGACAAAAAUCAGCGUGAGUGACCAGCAAAUCCUCUAGAACGAACACCCAGACAUGGCUCAACACAAGGUGAAGAGAAACCCCGAAAAACCUGAAAAAAACAGGUUCUUUACG
Non-coding RNA from Pelobates cultripes (western spadefoot toad), 214 nucleotides. NCBI's taxonomy places the organism in Eukaryota, Metazoa, Chordata, Amphibia, Anura, Pelobatidae. The record is from the annotation of a GenBank genome assembly.